CAGCAAACCACACUGUCUCCAGGUUUCACCAAGUCAGUAUCCAGUUGCUACUUCAUAUUAACCAUGGUGAAAACAAAGCCUCCUAUUCUUCCUUUAGUAGCCUUCUUGCUAUACAUUCAUCAAAGUCAUAUCAUCUUGUUCAGAUAUCUUCAACUGUUGUCACCCCUAACCCACACCCCUGCACUCACACAGCCACACAAUGAAAUCCAGACUCUUCAGCCUCAGCCUCAGUCUAAACCUUGGCUCUGGCAUGCUUUAGACCUUAUUCUGACUAGAAUGUCUAGACCUAGUUCAGGUGCUUAGAAAAGACUGUGGGAUGAAUGUUUCCCUGACUUCCACCUUCCCAUAAGAGGGUAUAGAUUUGGGGCAGAGCAGAAGGAGCAUAGUGGUCAGUGGAAAAGGCCCUUGAAUUGGGAAGCAGACAGGCCUGGCCCAUCCUCCCUUCCACCAGCAUCUGCUUGAGCUGUGGAAGUUCCAUAGCAAGUUCUGGAAUUCAGAGCCUUCAUUUUCACUCCCUGAACAAAAUUAUUGGGCCCACCUGUGAGACCGCAGAGAACAUCAGUCAUUAGGAAGACCCCAGCUCAUUGAAGAGUUUGUAAGCAGCUUGCCUGGUGCCUCAUCAGGCAAUCGUUGCACUACAUUGACGAUAUCUCUGAGAUGUGACCUCUGUGUGCCAAAUCUGCCUCCCCACCAUCUUCACAGUAUUCUCUUCUGGGUCUCCCUCAGCCCAGAUUCUGGUCAUAUUUUCUCUAAAUUGUUGCCCUUUACUCUUCAUCUUCACUGACCCACCUCUGAUUUCCCCAUGUGUCUUCCAAGUUCCUUGUAUCACUGUACCACUCUACUGGGUCACCUUGCACCUUGUAACCGAGCCCCUGUUCCUUCAACACCUGUCAGAAUCUUCCCUCACCAGGUUCCUCCCCUCUGCAUUCCUGCUUCCAUUUCUCCCGGGCAUUCUGUUAAUCUAUUACACUGACUUGAGACUCCUAGAGGGCAAAGGGAUAUAUUUUUCUCAUUUUUUUGUUUCAUUCUACAAUGCUUAGCACAGUGCCUUGCCCAGAGUAGCUGUUUUUCUUGACAGUUUUGCAUGGAGUGGAACUCUUAGUGGGAAUGUGGCUCUGAAAUGACUCAUUAGCCCAUCCACAGAUCUGAGGAUGUAGACUGCCUCCAUCACUGACUUCCUUAUAUAAGCUCCUCAUACACAGGUCCACCACAGACAAAGUAGAAGUGUCCAUCUUCCCUGGAUCCCAUUUGCUGUGACUCCCAGCUCCUUCAUCUUCAUCUGAGCAGUUGUGUUUGAUUGCUAUAGCCUCUUCCCUGGCAGGAGCCCCUGGCCUUCAUUGCAAUCCUGAAUUGCAUUCUUCUCAAGUGGAAAGGGAGACAGAAAGUAAUGUGAUUAAAUUAUGUUGUUGUUUGUUUGUUUGUUUGUUUAAAAUAAAGAUGUUCCUGAUAAUCUAACAAAGAAAUGAGGGAAGAAUACCCUGGUGAGGCUGAUCCAU
Molecule: long non-coding RNA, 1496 nt
Filed under: Marmota monax (woodchuck)
Lineage: Eukaryota; Metazoa; Chordata; Mammalia; Rodentia; Sciuridae
Source: RNAcentral